AGUGAACGCUGGCGGUAGGCCUUACACAUGCAAGUCGAACGGCAGCACAGUAAGAGCUUGCUCUUACGGGUGGCGAGUGGCGGACGGGUGAGGAAUACAUCGGAAUCUACUUUUUCGUGGGGGAUAACGUAGGGAAACUUACGCUAAUACCGCAUACGACCUACGGGUGAAAGCAGGGGAUCUUCGGACCUUGCGCGAUUGAAUGAGCCGAUGUCGGAUUAGCUAGUUGGCGGGGUAAAGGCCCACCAAGGCGACGAUCCGUAGCUGGUCUGAGAGGAUGACCAGCCACACUGGAACUGAGACACGGUCCAGACUCCUACGGGAGGCAGCAGUGGGGAAUAUUGGACAAUGGGCGCAAGCCUGAUCCAGCCAUACCGCGUGGGUGAAGAAGGCCUUCGGGUUGUAAAGCCCUUUUGUUGGGAAAGAAAAGCAGCAGGUUAAUACCCCGCUGUUCUGACGGUACCCAAAGAAUAAGCACCGGCUAACUUCGUG
This 492-nucleotide ribosomal RNA is filed under the name uncultured bacterium. RNAcentral describes it as "partial 16S ribosomal RNA". It matches the Rfam family "Bacterial small subunit ribosomal RNA", at positions 29 to 507 of the family's 1533-position model. The record is from RNAcentral.